GGAUGUGAGGGCGAUCUGGCUGCAACAACUGUCAGCCCUUUUAUCAUCAGGGUUGCUUUGGCUGAUCUGGCUGGCUCUGCGUGUGUCCCCUUCCGCCCUCACCGCUCCAAGUUUGUGUCUCUCAAAGCUGCACGCUCAGUGGCAGAGGGCGACCACACCUGAUAGUAGCUGAGCCCCCAUG
RNAcentral lists this small nuclear RNA (181 nucleotides) under Fukomys damarensis (Damara mole-rat). RNAcentral's name for it is "7SK RNA". It matches the Rfam family "7SK RNA", at positions 1 to 181 of the family's 331-position model. Rfam says of the family: 7SK was discovered as an abundant small nuclear RNA in the mid-70s but a possible function has only recently been suggested. Lineage: Eukaryota; Metazoa; Chordata; Mammalia; Rodentia; Bathyergidae. The record is from Rfam by way of RNAcentral.